UACGGGGGGUGCAAGCGUUGUUCGGAAUUACUGGGCGUAAAGCGCGUGUAGGCGGCCUUUUAAGUCUGAUGUGAAAGCCCGGGGCUCACCCCCGGAAGUGCAUCGGAUACUGGGAGGCUCGAGUACCGGAGAGGAGGGUGGAAUUCCUGGUGUAGCGGUGAAAUGCGUAGAUAUCAGGAGGAACACCGGUGGCGAAGGCGGCCCUCUGGACGGAUACUGACGCUGAGACGCGAAAGCGUGGGGAGCAAACAGG
Molecule: ribosomal RNA, 253 nt
Filed under: uncultured bacterium
Lineage: Bacteria
Description: partial 16S ribosomal RNA
Rfam family: Bacterial small subunit ribosomal RNA
Source: RNAcentral